GAGGAGGCUCCCAGCCCUGGGGAUGCUUCUUGGCCAUGAGCUGCCUGUCCUCGCUCAGACAAAGGAAGGACCCAACCUUAACAUCCAUGGGAGAAAACCCAAGGCAGCAGAUGGAAGAAGAGCUACAAAGAUAGCAGUCAUUGGAGGAACAAAGAAAGGAUUCCGUGAGUCAGGAGCUUGGCCAGGCUCAGCUGGGACACUCAUCUUUGCUUCACCUCAUGUCAGCUGCAGCAUCUUAGGAAUGCAAGACAGCCUCAUUCACAUCCGGCGGCGGGUGCUGGCUGUCCACUGGGUGCCUUCGCUCUUUUUCAAGUGGUUUCUCAUCCUCUGGGGUUUCACUGUCUCCAUGUGGCCUCCCUAGCAAGUUGCUUAGAUUUCUUUACGUGGAAACUGGCUUUCUAGAGGGUAAAAAUGGAAGCUGCAAGGACUCUUAUGGCCCAGAAGUCCCAGAACGUCACUUCUUCCACAAGUCAUAGGGCCAGCCAAGAUUCAAGGGGAAGGAAACAGACUCUGUCUCUUCAUAUUUCAAUGGGACAAAUUGUUGCAGCCACCUUUGGAAACAAUCUACUGCAAUACACUACAGCAGUGGACAUCUGGGCCCUUACCAGGCGCCAGACGCCGUACUAACAGCUUUAUACGGAUGAACUCAUUUAAUCCUCCCAAACUCCAUGAGGUUUUGCAGCCCUUGCCAUGAGUGGCCAGUUGCUGAUAGCAUUGCUGCUGCCUGUUGCUAUUCUGGGAUAGGAACCGAGGAUGUGCUGUGAUUACCCAGACCAGAAGGAAGCUCAGAAGGCACUGGUCCUCUCAGGUGGCACCCAGAUCCAAUGUGAGCCAUGGGGGAUGAAGGGUGGUUAAGUGAAAAGCUUUGGAGUGCUGACAGGUGGUCCCCCUGAUAUGCCAGGAAAUUACUUCCGGGCAAGAGAAACAAAGGAGAGUCCAUCUUCUAAUGUUACUGGCGCCAUACCAACAAGGUGUCAGCUAGAAACCUCUCUCUCUCUCUUGCAAAUUCUAGCCUGCAAAACCUGAGGACUGGCCUCAGGCUAGUCAGAAAUUUGCCUGAAAACAUCAUUCCUUGGGGUGGUGGGACUUCUGGGUAAGCCAGUGUGACUUGAAUUCUUGAUUUCUUAUACUCCCUUCUAACCAACCACCUGAAUGCUGAUCUCUACUGGCUGUCUGUGUGCCUUGCAUUUCAAUCAGCAGCCUUACAAAUGAUGAUGAGGAGAAGGAGGAGGAUGAGGACAAUAGCCAACAUUUACUGUUCUUUAGCUACUGUCCUAAGUACUUUACAAAUACCAGAUAAUUUUUUCUUCAUAACACUGUCAUUACUCCCAUUUUACAGAUGAAGAAAACAAGGCUUAAAUAGAUCACAUGAUUUGGUCAAGGUCACUCAUGCCACAGAGCCUGAAUCCAAAUCCAGUGAAGCCUCCAGAGCCUAGUUUCUACCCAUGACCCUGUGUUGCCUAUUGAUGGUACAGUGUAGGUUUUUUCCUUCUUCCUUUUUCUUUUUUUGAAAGUCUUUAUUGAAUUAUAAUUGGCAUACCAUUAACUGCAAAUAUUUGAAAAAUACAAUUUUAUGAGCUCUGACAUACAUACACCCAUAAAACCAUUGUUACAAUCAAGAUAAUGAAUAUGUCCGUCAUUCCCCAAAAGCUUCCCUGUGCCCCUUGGUAAUCCACCCCUCACUCCCCACCCCAUUCUGUUCCUAGGCAACCAAUCAUCUGUUUUCUGUCAGAUUAAUUUGCAUUUUCUAGAGUUUUAUAUAUGGAAGCAGACAGCAUGUACUCUUUUUUUGUCUGGCUUCUUUCACUCAGCAUAAUUAUUUUUAGGUUCAUCUAUAUUGGUGCAUGUAUCAACAAUUCAUUCUUUUCUAUUCCUGAGUACUAUUCCAUUAUAUAGGUGUACUAAAUUUGUUUAUUCAACUCUUGAUGGACAUUGAGUUGUUUACAGUUUUUGGCUAUUACAAAUAAAGCUGCUAUGAACCUUC
Molecule: long non-coding RNA, 1984 nt
Organism: Pan troglodytes (chimpanzee)
Lineage: Eukaryota; Metazoa; Chordata; Mammalia; Primates; Hominidae
Exons: 3
Source: RefSeq, a predicted model, not a curated record